UACGGAGGGUGCUAGCGUUAUCCGGAUUUACUGGGCGUAAAGGGCGCGUAGGCGGUCUUUCAAGUCGGAGGUUAAAGGCUACGGCUCAACCGUAUUAAGCCGCCGAAACUGGCAGACUUGAGUGCAGGAGAGGAAAGUAGAAUUCCCAGUGUAGCGGUGAAAUGCGUAGAGAUCGAGAAGAAUACCAGUGGCGAAGGCGGCUUUCUGGAC
This 210-nucleotide ribosomal RNA is filed under the name uncultured bacterium. Its description in RNAcentral is "partial 16S ribosomal RNA". It matches the Rfam family "Bacterial small subunit ribosomal RNA", at positions 524 to 734 of the family's 1533-position model. The record is from RNAcentral.